RNAcentral lists this long non-coding RNA (1090 nucleotides) under Callithrix jacchus (white-tufted-ear marmoset). RNAcentral's name for it is "lncRNA (ENSCJAG00000082363.1)". The record is from RNAcentral. Lineage: Eukaryota; Metazoa; Chordata; Mammalia; Primates; Cebidae.
CGUCUCUCCUGACAGGCAGAGUUCCUGGAACCGGGAAGGUUUCUUCCAAAUCCCCUAGGCCUAAGUCCCAAGAUUUUUCUUCUUUUUAUCCCAAGGCUUGAUUUAGUCAAUAGAUAUUUCCUAGUGCUGACUCUGAGCCUGGUCCAGGGCUGCAGCUGGGAGCUGGAGCGCAGGAUGAGUCAGCCGGGAGCUGCCACAUGGCAAUGGACUGUCCACUGUGAGAGAGCACGGGAGCAGAGCUGUAGCUGCAAGUUUAAUCAGCAAAAGGGUGUGGUGAAUGUGUACAGAGAUACUCCCACAACUCAGGAAGGCUGGUACUACAUGGGAGCAAUGAGUGGCCAAAUUUGCGUCACCUGCCUGCACACUGGAUGACAACUGUAUGCAGAGAGGACUGGCUGGUCCCUUAGGACUCCAAGGAGAUAGUGGCCUCACAGUGGCACCUGCCCACAGCCAGCAUUUCUACUGAGUUUUCUUCCUUUCAAAUUGGUCUUCUGGUUAUAGAAAAGGAGAUAUAUCUAGAGGUGGGAUACCCAGAAUCUUCAAAGGUAAGGAUGAAGUUCCAUUUCUUAGGCUGGACAUGAAUUUUUGGUGUGUGGGUGGGGGGGCACUGCUUAACUCAGUACAGUGGGAUACAUGCAUGCAUCACUCCCAGGCCUCAAUGGAAGGCCAGCCCAGGACACAAGCUGUGGGAGAGUCUGCCUGCAAUUUACAGAUUUGGAGAUAGAUACCUUCUAAAGGUGUUUGCAUUUUAAAUCUUUUAUUUUCUAAAGACUUCAUUUUAAAUUCAAAAAUAAAGUUCCUAGUGGUCAAGGUUAUCUGUCUUUCUGGCUAUAGUAAAGGCAGAGUUUGCUUAAAUCUUUCAAAGAAAUACUUUUACCUGCCAGUAACAUUAAGAAACACAUUUCUAAUCUCAAAAAAAUUGAAGUCAACUCACUCUGGGGUUUCCAGCCAAGUAACAGGGAUUUAGAGUCCAGAAAUAUGGUGGUCUUGGGCUGUCUAGUCACAUCUUCCUUAAAUUACAGCUGAGUCACAGUUACUCUACAGAAUGAACGAUUGCCAAGCUUCUCAUGGUGUUCUCCCUUCUCCUUCC